This 171-nucleotide ribosomal RNA is filed under the name Triticum aestivum (bread wheat). Its description in RNAcentral is "partial small subunit ribosomal RNA". The record is from RNAcentral. Lineage: Eukaryota; Viridiplantae; Streptophyta; Magnoliopsida; Poales; Poaceae.
GUGCAUUUGUAUGGUUUGGAGAAGCUUACUUGUCUUAUAGUUUAGCUGCUUUAUCUGUCUUUGGUUUUAUCGCUUGUUGUUUUGUAUGGUUCAAUAAUACAGCUUAUCCGAGUGAGUUUUAUGGACCCACCGGGCAAGAAGCUUCUCAAGCUCAAGCAUUUACUUUCCUAG